CGAAAUCUGGAGACGAAGACAGCUGGCAAAUAUUUUUACAGUAUUUGCUAGUUGCUUUUGUCCCCUGAUUAUU
Molecule: non-coding RNA, 73 nt
Organism: Hydra vulgaris (swiftwater hydra)
Lineage: Eukaryota; Metazoa; Cnidaria; Hydrozoa; Anthoathecata; Hydridae
Source: RefSeq, marked provisional